Phoenix dactylifera (date palm) is the source of this 8423-nucleotide non-coding RNA. The record is from RefSeq and is a predicted model, not a curated record. Lineage: Eukaryota; Viridiplantae; Streptophyta; Magnoliopsida; Arecales; Arecaceae.
CUAAAAGAAACCUAUCACAUUGUUGCAACUGUUGUGUCAGAUCAUGAUAAUGCAGAUAAUCAGUCAGUGGUGCCCUGGGUGGUGCGGAAUAUAAAAAGGUGCAGAAUGUUGACACCGCAUAUGAGGGAGAUGUUGACUGGGAACUGAUGCAUGAGCAAGGAUCGUUUACAAAUACCCCUGCAUAUGAUGGAGACCGAUCUGUCAGAGCAAAGGAUAAAUCUGAUUCACAUUCGAAUAUUCUGGAUGAGGCAAGUAAUUCUCGUACAGCAGCAGUAGCAGCCGGGUUGAAAGCUCGUGCCAUGAGUCCAAUUGAAAAGAUCAAAUUUAAGGAUGUCUUAAAACGCAAAGACGGUCUUCAGGAAUAUCUGGAAUGCAGGAAUUUAAUUCUAGGUCGCUGGAAUAAAGAUGUGAAGCACAUAUUGCCUCUUGUAGAUUGUGGUGUAUAUGAUACCUCUUCAGAAGAUGAAUCACCCUGUGAUCUUCUCAUUCGUGAAAUUUACUUGUUUCUGGACCGCAAUGGUUAUAUUAAUACAGGGAUUGCAUCAGAGAAGGAGACAACAAAUCUGUGUGGUAUACCUCAUUCUAAAGUUCCAAAGAAAUUCAAACCUAACAAAACUAAUGGGGUGAAUACAGCUGGUUCUGAGCAUGGAAUUCCCUCUGUUCAAAGUCAGUUUAGUAUUUCUGAAAAUUUUGAGAUAAAGGAGAAUGAUAUGCCCUUUGUAGUUCAAAAAACAAAAUUGAAGCUUGAUGCUGAAGCUAGUGAAAAUAAUAAUCUCCAAUCACCUUGUUCGGGAUCAGAGUUAUCCUCUCAGGUGAAGUCAAAGGAACAAACAGUUGGCUGCAUGGAACUAGAUGUGCAGUCUGCAAGUAGAAAAUGUGAAACAGAAAUAAUCAACAGUGUUAAGGUUGGAGAUGAUAUGUGCAUGGAUUGGCAUUGCAGCCCGAGGAGUGGGUAUGGCAAAGUCGUACCAGAUAACCAAGGGAUUCAGCGCAAUGAUCGACAGGCAAAACCACAUGGUGGUUCAAUUUCUGUUUCAUCUUCUGUCUUUGGUCGUGAACCAAAUCCUGAUGUUUCUGUGAAGCAGAUAGAAGAUUUCUCUGAUAUGCAUCAAUCAGUAGAAAGUGAAAGAGAAAAUAUUGCAUAUAUUGAAAAUAUUGGGACCCGUUCGACUGAAGUACACUCUAUCAAGGUGGAUAAUAGUACUGAAUCUGAUUUAAAAGUUCUCAAGAGAAUUAUAAUUGUUGGAGCUGGUCCUGCUGGCUUAACCGCGGCACGCCAUCUGCAACGCCAAGGUUUUUCUGUCACUGUUCUAGAGGCUCGUGAUAGAAUUGGGGGUCGUGUGUAUACGGACCGCAAAUCACUUUCAGUUCCUGUAGAUCUUGGUGCCAGCAUUAUCACUGGUGUAGAGGCUGAUGUUGCGACUGGAAGACGGCCAGAUCCCUCCUCUCUAAUUUGUAGGCAGUUAGGACUUGAAUUAACUGUUUUGAACAGUGAUUGCCCUCUUUAUGAUAUAGUCACAGGUCAUAAAGUUCCUACUGAAUUGGAUGAUACUCUGGAAGCUGAAUAUAAUAGUCUCCUUGAUGACAUGGUUGUACUUGUUGCACAAAAUGGUGAAGGUGCAAUGAGGAUGUCACUUGAGGAUGGACUAGAAUAUGCUCUUAGAAGGCGUUGUAUGGCUCAGUCAACAUCAGUGGCUUUAGAUCAAGUUAAGUUGGUCUGCAAUUCUGGAAUGGUGAAUACUGUUAUGAAUCCUCCCAUGGCCACUGAAAUCACCAAUGGUGCUGAGGACAGUCCUACUAUGAACAUAUUGAGUCCUCUUGAGAGAAGAGUGAUGGAUUGGCACUUCGCGAAUCUGGAGUAUGGUUGUGCUACCUUGCUUAAGGAGGUAUCUCUUCCCUACUGGAACCAGGAUGAUGUUUAUGGAGGAUUUGGAGGGGCUCACUGCAUGAUUAAAGGGGGUUACAGCACCAUUAUAGAAAGUUUAGAUAAGGGACUUGAUAUUCACUUAAACCAAAUUGUUACAGAAGUCGUCUAUGACGUGAAGGACUCAGGUGAAGUUGGCCAACAUCAAAACAAAGUGAAAGUAAGCACAUCCAAUGGUGGUGAGUUUGUGGGAGAUGCAGUCUUGAUCACCGUGCCACUUGGUUGUCUAAAGGCAGAUACCAUUAAGUUCUCUCCUACUUUACCAGGUUGGAAACAAUCCUCAAUCCAGAGGCUUGGUUUUGGUGUGCUGAACAAAGUAGUGCUAGAGUUCCCUGUAGUAUUUUGGGAUGAUACUGUAGAUUAUUUUGGGGUUACUGCAGAAGAAACAAGUCGGAGGGGCCAAUGUUUUAUGUUUUGGAAUGUCAAGAAGACUGUUGGGGCUCCUGUUCUUAUAGCACUUGUGGUUGGGAAAGCAGCUAUAGAUGGACAAUUUAUGAGCACGUCUGAUCAUGUAAAUCAUGCUUUGAUGGUUCUUCGUAGACUUUUUGGUGAAGCUGCUGUACCAGAUCCUGUAGCUGCUGUUGUAACAAACUGGGGCUUGGAUCCUUACAGUAGGGGUGCUUAUUCCUAUGUUGCUGUGGGCGCAUCUGGGGAGGACUAUGAUAUUUUGGGGAGACCUGUUGCAAACUGCUUAUUUUUUGCUGGCGAAGCAACCUGCAAAGAACAUCCAGAUACCGUUGGUGGUGCAAUGUUGAGUGGUCUUCGAGAAGCAGUUCGUAUUAUUGACAUCUUCGGUACUGGCAAGGAUCAUGGGGAAGAGGUUGAUGCAAUGGAAGCUGUACAAAGACGGUCAGAUAGUGAAAGAAGUGAAGUCAGAGACAUGUCAAAGAGACUUGAUGCAUGCAAACUUUCCAGUGUUCUUUGCAAGAACGUAGAUGACAUGCAUUGCUUGCCCACAAAGGAAGGCUUACUGAAAGAUAUGUUCUCUAGUGCAAAGACUACUUCUGGACGAUUACUUCUGGCAAAAGAAUUGUUAUGCCUUCCUGUUGAAACUCUCAAAUUCUUUGCUGGGACCAAGGAGGGACUUAGCACACUCAAUACUUGGAUCCUUGAUUCGUUGGGCAAAAAUGCUACACAGCUCUUGCGUCAUUGUGUCCGCUUGCUUGUGCUUGUAUCAACGGAUCUUCUUGCUGUUCGUUUGUCUGGGAUUGGAAGGACUGUAAAGGAGAAAGUCUGUGUGCAUACUAGUCGAGAUAUCCGUGCUAUAGCAAGUCAGCUGGUCAGUAUGUGGAUAGAAGUUUUCUGUAAGGACAAGGCCAGAAAUGGUGCGGUGAAACUAUUAAGGCAAACAACAAAAUCAGAAUCAUCGAUGGUCAGAUCUAAAGAUCUGAUAUCAGGAAAGCCACCUCUACAUAUGGCUAGUGAAGCAUUGGAUAGUAAAGGCAAUUGGCAGGUUCCUUCAACUGCUAGAACCCAUUCACCUUCCAGAGCAAAUAAUAAAAAAUUUGAUAACAGGAUAGCCAAGUUAGAACCUUUAAUAGAAAUAAAUUCUGAGGUUAACUCAUCAUGCUCCCAGAGAGUGAUACAGGGUAUGGAAUCUAUGUUGGAGAAUAAUGUGGUAAUGACUGAAGAAGCACCUGCAGCCUUUGCUGCUGCUGAAGCUGCACGUGCUGCUGCUCUUAAAGCUGCUGAGGCAUAUGCAUCUUCAGAAGCAGAGGUUAGUGCAUGGCGCGAUCUUCCAAAGAUACCAUCAUUCCAUAAAUUUGCAAGACGUGAACAAUAUGUACAGAUGGAUGAAUCUGACAUAAGAAAGAAAUGGUUUGGUGGUGUUCUUGGAAGGCAAGAUUGUAUAUCUGAAAUAGACUUGAGAAACUGCAGGGUGAGAAAUUGGUCGGUUGAUUUUACCGCCUCCUGUGCGAAGCUUGACAAUUCAAAAAUGUCUGGUGAUAACUGUACAGAGAGGAGUUAUUCAAAUGAAAUGGCAUGCCCUUCAAAUCUAAGAGAACAUUCUGGAGAAAGUGGAGCGAUAGAUAGUCGAUUGACAAAGGCAUGGGUUGAUACAGAUACAGAUGGAAGUGGGGGUGUCAAGGGUUCUCUUGCCAUUGAGAGGUGGCAGUCUCAAGCAAUGGAUGCAGAUGCUGAUUUUUAUAGCCAUAUGUACAUAAGGGACGAGGAAGAUUCAAAUAGAAUGUCAGAUGUAUCCAGUGCUAGGCACCAAGGGCAGAUGAGAGGAAGUUCUGCCUCACAAGUUGCAGGCAACAGAUCAUCAUUUGAUGGUCAACCAAGAGGAGCAGACUGUAUUAAACAAGGUGUGGUGGACUAUGUGGCAUCAUUGCUUAUGCCUCUGUAUAAGAUAAGGAAGAUUGACAGAGAAGGAUAUAAGUCUAUAAUGAAGAAAACUGCUGCCAAGGUCAUGGAACAAUGUACAGAAGCAGAAAAGGUGAUGGCAGUUUACGAGUUUCUUGAUUCUAAGCGGAAGAACAAGAUUCGAUCUUUUGUGGACAAGUUGAUUGAAAGGCAUAUGGAAAUGAAUCAAAAAGCAAAGUCCUGAUGCUUCCAAUGGCUGUCUUGGAAGCAAAUCAUCUGCAAGUGAUGCCUGUUAUUUAUAACCUGCAUCCUGUUGAAGAACCAAAAUGGCUUAUGAGCUCUUUCUGCAGUUCGAUGGAAUCAGAAAUGCUUGCCAGUCGAUUGUCUGUUUUACAAUUUUCAUGCAGAACCCAUAAAUUGUCAAUGCUGAAAUGCACUCUAGGAUAUGGCACAAGCAUCUAGUUGAAAGCUGUCAAACCAUAUGGAGCAACUCUAUGGACCUUUAGCAUUCCAAGAUUCAUGCAAAAUCAGAUCUUUCUCCUUCAGGGACAGUCCCUUGAGGACUUGCACAUGCCUCUUUCUUUCAUGUGCUUUGGGGUUCACAAGGAUGCUUCAGAGGAAGGAGAAAUAAAGUCAUAUAGGGACUUGGGUGACAUUGGUUUCUAGUGCUGAUCUUAAAGCAACAGAUUUUUUGCCUGACCAUUGGUAUUAUGUCGAGGAUCAAUUAGAUUCAAGUGCAGUUGUUCCAUUUGGUAUCAACCGGAGCUUGUAUUCUUUAUACAGAUUAACCCUAUUCUUUGUUCAAGGAUCCCAUACAUGAGGCGAUCUUUUUGCUCUUUGUUCAUCUCUGUACAAAAAAAAACUGACAACUUGCAUAACCUGUUCAUCCCUCUUCUGAAGUGGUUCAUUGCUCGAGUUUUGUAUACAAACAAAAUUAGUCCAAAUUGUACUUAAUCUAACUUAAUUGUGGGUUUGUAAGAUGGGACCCCUCAUUUCUUUGUUCUCAUGCAAAUAGACAUUGAUCAUAAAAUUUUCUUGUACCAUAUAUUAAUUGAAGUUUAGAUAUUUUGGUCUUGCCAGCUUUCCUCUUUAGCUCUGAUUUAAUUGAAUAAUGGAUUUUAUCCUAAAUGGAAUAUCACCUAAUCUAUUUUCCUAACUCCGGCAUCAAUAGCAGUUGUGUGAACCGGCUUGUUUUCGUCGUCCUCUUUCCCAACAGUUAGAAUGGUGAAAUUGCAAAGAACAGGUUGAAAGGUAGGUUUCUGUUGAUGCUGCAUUACUGACAUUUUUAAACUUUUCCUCAUUUAUUCCAAUGAUGCUGGAUUUGUAUGAAUGCAGUUUAUUAGUCAAACACAAACGCAGCAUUUAGAUCGCAUUCGCCUGCCAUUUCAUAAUUGUCAACAAGGAUUCUGGGCCUAAAGUAGGUUUGAUUUUGCAAUGUCCAUUCUUUAUGGGGUUUGCCUAUAAUUUCCAUGUUUGUUUAUGCGGACUUGACAAGGUUUCUUUUAAAAAUGCUUACAGUCGCAAUGUCUGCAUUUUCUUCAGAUGAUGGGGGCUCCACAGCUGACUAAAAUAACCUGUUACUUUUACAUGUUUUUUUGCUGUGUCAAGGGACUACUUCAAUAUAAAAUUUUGAGUUUACAGUGAUGUUGAAUUUCACUCCAUGUGUGUUUUGCUAUGGGACUUGCUGUUGAUUAUAUUCUCUUAUGUCUCUUUGCUGGUUGUGUCCUCUUAAGCAGACGUUCAGUUCUUUUCCUUGUAGACCCUAGCACGACAUUCUCUCUGUACCUCCAUGACCAUGGUAUGACUCGUCUUUACAGCCUUUUGCCAUGACACUGGUGCUUUGGUGGAUUGAGGCAGCAUAGGAAUCCUGAAUAACUUCUCGUAACAUUUGGACACUGAACAAAACGAUAAGCUUUAUGUGCGAGACAGGUUUACUCUCCAUUCAGUGCUCUCUCCUGAUGCUGUAAGCCUUUACAUUUAGCCCAGCACGCAAUUCCUUUGGUUAUAUUAAUAUUGCACAAGCCACAGUUCGCUGGUGACAUAAGCAAGCGUGCAUUAUUGCUGGUGAUUAUUAUACUGACACUUUUGCCUCCUUGUAGAAUAAUUUGCAGCUCAUGCUAUGCAAAAUGCUAGCAAUUUGUCAACGACAACUUUUGCAAGCAUGUCGAAUAUUGUUUUCUUGAUAUUACCUUUUUAAGCUUUUGCAGUAGAAUGCAAUCCUGUGGAUGAAAUACAAAGUCGAAUGACCAUAAUAUAUAACUACUCUGAAGUUCUUGUUUUGAUAGCAUCCUUCUGUUCUUUGUUUCAGAUUACUAUUGCAAGCGCUUUAUGGAAUGGUAUCGUCGCUACCAACUUUUUCAGCUGAGAGCGUGCUGGAGUGAGACACAUAUCCAGUGUUUUGGUGGCUGGUGAAAAUGGGACGAUCGUACUUGACAAUCAUGUUGAAUGACUGGAGAUGCAACUGUUUUGGAUUAGAGUUGCAUUCAUGAAAGAUCAGAAUCCAAACCUGAUCAGAAUCCAACUGAUCGUACUUGAUUAUAGCACUACUUACAGCAUCUGUUAACAAUACAUGGUUAUAAUGGCCUUUGGUGUCCUCUAAGAGCCACCGAUCCUAAGUUUGACAAUUCUAUGAUAUGGUAUACGAUCGUCAAACUGGUUCAAAGUUUCCAUUCGUACUAUUUCAUUGAGUCAUCAACAUGUCUUGACUUUCACGAUCUUCUAAGAUCAAGAGAAAAGUACGGGUUAAGCCUCAUUUUUGUGUCCUGGAUCUCCUAUAACUCAACCAUCUCCAAUAAUUCUCUUGUCAGGAUCAUUUGUGUUACUCUCAAGUUUUAAAGGAAUAGGGAUAUCUGUCGUUUUAUAUACAAGUAACUUUUAUCCCAAAAACAAUGACCAAUCUUCUCCACGCAGCUUCACAUUGUAACAAAGCAACCUGGUUUAAAAAGCACACGCUAGCACCACUAAAUCAAGAUCUUCGAAGGCGUUAUCUUGUUCUCACUAGCUCAAGCUUGUUCUAGUGGCGAGUUCUUUUAUUAGAAAGAUUCGGCUUUGUAUAUUAAGAAGAGUGCAGCAUGCAAAGAUUUGCUGAUUUCACUUAAAAAUUAUAAAUUUUUUUAGUGAAAGGAUCUUUACUUCAAAUAAAAUAAGAAAUCCAGUUCGAAACAGUUGUAACAUCAUCUUCUGCACCAGUAUUGGCAUCUGCCAGUCUCUUUCUCUCUUCCUCCCUCUCCCUCUUCUUUCUUUUUUUCUCUCUCUCACGGUCUACAUUCGCUCUCUCUUGUGUCGGUACAAGUUCGGCACGAUAUGGGCCCAUACCGACUCGGGCCAUCGGACAACCGAUAUCGGCACAGUAGACCGUGUGCGUAAAAGAAUAAAAGAUUGCACCUACACAAAUACCCAUUCAAUCAUGGCCGACUUGGCUCCUAAAAACAACCUUGUCAUAGCAAUCUCAGCAACGAUGCCUACUCUAAACGCUACGUUUGCAUGCUCCACCUUAUCUCCAUAUGAAGCAUGUUAUUCACUUUUAUUUUUUUUAGAGACAGUUUUAUGCAAGCAGUCGGUCCAUGCACUGACAUAACAAGAGUCAUAUAUAAUUAUAAACCGCUUUCAUGCCAAAGAUUUCAUAUCAAGUUAGCCUUGAAAUAAAUAAAUGUGCGCAAUAUUUAGUUUUAUAUAUUUUAUUAUUAUUAUUACCUUUUCACAAAAAUCCAUCAAGCUGAAGCUUUAAGCUGUAGACAUUAUGUAGAAAAUGAUUCUAGCUAUACACCAGCAAGCUGGCAUAUAAAACUACAAAUUUAGAUGGAUAAUUCUGUCUAUGUAGUGGGCAUUGGAUCAUUUCAUUGGUGAAAGUUACAGUUGAGGUGCAAAAGCGUUAUGAUGCGUGAGCGUUUGUCAAGCACCAACAAAAUAUAGAUCCAAAAUAUAAAAUCGAAAAAAAUCCAACGCUACCACCUCUGAGCAGGCAAGACUGACACCUUGAAUCAGCAUCAAAGCUAAUGAAACAAAAUAAAGAAAUUUAGGCCACCAGGUGAAAAAAUUGGUCAAGUUUACAUUGGCAGUUUUCACAAUAGCUGAAGCUCUAAUUCAAAAGCUGCAGCCUAAAAGGUAACAGCUAUGUUAUCUUUAUUCGCAUACAUAUUCAUCCCUAUUGUGCUAAAAGAGUAAUCCUACAUAGAAAAUGACCAGUCCAAAA